Vicia villosa (hairy vetch) is the source of this 436-nucleotide long non-coding RNA. RefSeq lists it as uncharacterized. The record is from RefSeq and is a predicted model, not a curated record. Lineage: Eukaryota; Viridiplantae; Streptophyta; Magnoliopsida; Fabales; Fabaceae. The transcript has 2 exons.
UGUUAUCUACAACAUGGAAGAUUUUUUUGGCGAUUCUGAUCAAAAUAGAACAAACAAGGGUCUUCAAUCAUCCAAGCAACAAUCUGUCUCCGUUGCUUGAGUUUCAGAUACCCUGAAAUGGUGGCAGCAACAGAUUUUAUCAAGACUUUGAUAUAUCUUAGCAAUGACAUCUUCUUUUGCAAUAGGAAUUGAAUUUCUGGUAUUCUGGAUCAAUUAAUGGAGAAAUGCAUAAUAGGAAAGAGUUUGUGGUAUAGUACAACAAGAAUACCAGUGUCCUUGUUAGUUAGUUAACUGUCAUUUGAUAUGAUACUAUGUUAAAUUAUGAAACAAUCAUUGGGAUAGACUUCAUAAUAGCUCAUCUUUACAAAUGUAUAGAAGUUACACUCAUAUUUUUUCUCUUCUGGAUAUGUUUUUACUGUUGCGGUGCGGUUCUUUA